UAUACAGUGGCAUCUGUCAUAAGGACUUUUCGACAGGAAAACAGGAUUGAGGGUCGGGAACGACAAGGAGGAAGGGGGCCCAUAUUCACGCAAGAACAAGAGAGAGAGAUAAUAAACAUGGUUUUGGCCAAUAAUGCUAUCAGGCUCAGAGAACUACAAGCCAACAUUAUCGGUGACCAUGCCAUUUUCAAUAAUGUCCAUCAGGUCUCUCAGUCAACACUGGCACGCAUCCUGAAAAGACAUCAGGUUCAAAUGAAACAACUUUAUAGAGUGCCUUUUGAGCGGAAUUCAGAGAGGGUCAAACGGCUGCGGCAUGAGUAUGUGGAGCAUGGGGUUCUCCUCCGUCAUGCCAAAAUGGGCCCUUACAACACACCUCACAUUCUCGCAUUUUUGGACCGAUUGCAACACAUCGUCACAGCAGGUAAUGAAAUGCACCAGAUGCAAUACACUGUCAUCUGGGACAAUGUGUCAUUCCACCGCUCUGCUUUGGUCCAGAACUGGUUUCAACACCAUCCACAGUUGACAGUACUAUACCUUCCACCAUACUCUCCGUUUCUAAACCCUAUCGAAGAGUUUUUCUCUGCAUGGCGGUGGAAGGUUUACGAUCUCCAGCCCAGGCUCAGGUACCCCUCAUUCAGGCAUUGGAGGACGCCUGUGACCAAGUCGACGCCGCAGCUGUGCAAGGAUGGAUUCGACAUUCAAGACGGUUUUUCCCACGUUGUCUUGCUAAUGAGGAUAUUGCUUGUGAUGUUGAUGAAAUUCUCUGGCCAGAUCCAGCUAGGCGAAGAGAUAA
RNAcentral lists this long non-coding RNA (793 nucleotides) under Salmo salar (Atlantic salmon). RNAcentral's name for it is "lncRNA (ENSSSAG00000112217.1, ENSSSAG00020080251.1)". Lineage: Eukaryota; Metazoa; Chordata; Actinopteri; Salmoniformes; Salmonidae. The record is from RNAcentral.